ACGAGAACGGNCUUAGCUUGCUAAGGUGNCANNUAAGUGGCGCACGGGUGAGUAAUGUAUAGCUNACAUGCCCCAUAGAGGGGGAUAACAGUUGGNAACGACUGCUAAUACCCCAUACUCCUUCAUCACAAAAGUGAUGUUGGGAAAGGUUUGUUCCGCUAUGGGAUUGGGCUAUAUCGUAUCAGCUAGUUGGUGAGGUAACGGCUUACCAAGGCUAUGACGCGUAGCGGGUCUGAGAGGAUNAUCCGCCACACUGGAACUGAGACACGGUCCAGACUCCUACGGGAGGCAGCAGUGGGGAAUAUUGGGCAAUGGGCGCNAGCCUGACCCAGCAACGCCGCGUGGGAGGAUGAUGCCUUUCGGGGUGUAAACUCCUUUUAUCAAGGAAGAUGAUGACAGUACCUGAUGAAUAAGCACCGGCUAACUCCGUGCCNGCAGCCGCGGUAAUACNGAGGGUGCAAGCGNUACUCGGAAUCACUGGGGCGUAAAGCGGCGCGCAGGCGGGCUGAUAAGCGGGGAGUGAAAGNCUACGGCUCACCCGU
Molecule: ribosomal RNA, 542 nt
Filed under: uncultured bacterium
Lineage: Bacteria
Description: partial 16S ribosomal RNA
Rfam family: Bacterial small subunit ribosomal RNA
Source: RNAcentral